UCCUUCAUUAUGAGGGAGCAGAUUAUGAGGGUGCCCAGAGGAGUUCUGAGAGCCCCAGCAUAAAGAUUCACUCCUAAAGACCUGGAAGAGUGGGUACUGAGACUCCUGUUUUGGGGAACCACAAGGCAAAUCUUCCAGCUGGUAGAGCGGAGCUUCUCUGCCUUGUAUCACGUAAGAAGGACGAAUGGGGAAGAGGUGUAGCUACGCCCAGUGCUUUGACAGGAAUUGAGCACCCAUGCUCUCAGAGUGGGAGGUGGAGAGGGAGCUGGCACUUCUUCUGUAUCCAGCCUACAGUGUUGUGGUUGAACACGGCGAUUCUUGGAUAAAUCAUUCUCAUCCACGUUUGGGUUUACGCGGUCUCCCCAGUACCACGUGUGUACGUGCGUUCUGACCCCACCGUCACUUAGAAAAGGCUCAGAGCCACAGUCUGACACUCUCCUAGUCAGAGGCCCUUGCUGAGUGAGUCAUGUAGAGCCGGACCCAGAAGCCUGGGACUCGGGAUCCCUUCUCCAUAUGCUGAGGAUGCCAGCUUCCCAGUCCCCUGCGAGCAGUGCAGCCGGCGUCUGGGAAACGUAACACUCUGGAGCUCUUGUUUGUGAUACUUCCUGCUGUGUUCCUGGCACAUGUGAACACACUGAAUUUUUAACUCA
This is a non-coding RNA of Vicugna pacos (alpaca), 650 nucleotides long. NCBI's taxonomy places the organism in Eukaryota, Metazoa, Chordata, Mammalia, Artiodactyla, Camelidae. The record is from RefSeq and is a predicted model, not a curated record.